CCUACGGGUGGCAGCAGUGGGGAAUAUUGCACAAUGGGGGAAACCCUGAUGCAGCGACGCCGCGUGAGUGAAGAAGUAAUUCGGUAUGUAAAGCUCUAUCAGCAGGGAAGAAAAUGACGGUAUCUGAGUAAGAAGCCCCGGCUAACUACGUGCCAGCAGCCGCGGUAAUACGUAGGGGGCAAGCGUUAGCCGGAUUUACUGGGUGUAAAGGGAGCGUAGACGGCAGUGCAAGUCUGGAGUGAAAGGCGGGGGCUCAACCCCCGGACUGCUCUGGAAACUGUACGGCUGGAGUGCAGGAGAGGUAAGUGGAAUACCUAGUGUAGCGGUGAAAUGCGUAGAUAUUAGGAGGAACACCGGUGGCGAAGGCGGCUUACUGGACUGCCACUGACGUUGAUGCUCGAAAGUGUGGGUAUGAAACAGGAUUAGAUACCCCGGUAGUC
RNAcentral lists this ribosomal RNA (440 nucleotides) under uncultured bacterium. RNAcentral describes it as "partial 16S ribosomal RNA". It matches the Rfam family "Bacterial small subunit ribosomal RNA", at positions 338 to 795 of the family's 1533-position model. The record is from RNAcentral.